UCGAGCGAUCUUCUUCGGAAGAGAGCGGCGGACGGGUGAGUAACGCGUGGGUAACCUGCCUUGUACAGGGGGAUAACAGUUGGAAACGGCUGCUAAUACCGCAUAAGCGCACGGCAUCGCAUGAUGCAGUGUGAAAACUCCGGUGGUAUAAGAUGGCCUCGCGUCUGAUUAGCUAGUUGGUGAGGUAACGGCCCACCAAGGCGACGAUCAGUAGCCGGACUGAGAGGUUGACCGGCCACAUUGGGACUGAGAUACGGCCCAGACUCC
RNAcentral lists this ribosomal RNA (267 nucleotides) under uncultured Eubacteriales bacterium. RNAcentral's name for it is "uncultured Clostridiales bacterium partial 16S ribosomal RNA". It matches the Rfam family "Bacterial small subunit ribosomal RNA", at positions 62 to 339 of the family's 1533-position model. The record is from RNAcentral. Lineage: Bacteria; Bacillati; Bacillota; Clostridia; Eubacteriales.